GGACCUCGGCGGGCGGGCAGGCCGCCCCGCAGGCCUGAGACUCUGUCCCGGGAAGGGAGUGCGGGGUCCGCGGGCCGCUGGACGGUGUUUCAUUUAGGGGGCGCGGGACGAGCUGGGGAGCCCGCACUGGGGACCCUGUGCCGCCUUCCCUUGGUCGAGCGUGGGGCGGGGACGGCAGUGACUCCCAGCUGCCGCCUCCCCUCCAGGUGGUCGACUGCCCUUCUCAGCGUCGAAAGUCAAGUUCAGGUCCGGGUCUGCACCCCAGUCGCGGAAAGGAGGGAGAACUCAGACCCCGCUCAGCCCGCGCCCCGCAGUUGUGCCCCGCUCCAAACCGGGGAACAGACCGCGGUCCUGAACGCGCCCGCCUCCUGCCUUCGCGCCAGGGUCGGCUGUGGGCUGCUGCCUAAGGACAGCUUCCUGGCCUUCUCGUCCAAGUAGACAAGGGAAGUGGGGACAGAAGGACAAAGUUCAGUGGCACAGAGACCGUGUUCUGCUUUGGGGGCCGUGGUGGCGAGAAGGGUUUUUUGUUUUUUUGGUUUUUUUCUGAGACCGGGUCUCGCUGUGUAGUCCAGGCUGACAGAGAACUCAUUGUGAUCCUCCUGCCUCAGCCUCCCAAAUGCUGGAAUCACAGGUGUGCGCCACCAGGCCUGGCUUAGUGGCCUUUGAAGGAGAUCGAACUUGGGACCUUGCGCUUUCAAGGCAGGCACCCGAACCAGAAUGCCUGAACAAGCCUUGCUGCCACACGGGGCUACUCUGAAGACCAGAUGGGACUCUGCAUUUCAGGGUGCUCUGUAAACUAUGAUACAG
This is a long non-coding RNA of Heterocephalus glaber (naked mole-rat), 807 nucleotides long. The record is from Ensembl. Lineage: Eukaryota; Metazoa; Chordata; Mammalia; Rodentia; Bathyergidae.